CCUACGGGAGGCUGCAGUGGGGAAUAUUGGACAAUGGGGGGAACCCUGAUCCAGCCAUGCCGCGUGUGUGAAGAAGGCCCUCGGGUUGUAAAGCACUUUCAGUGAGGAAGAACGCCUGGUGGUUAAUACCCAUCAGGAAAGACAUCACUCACAGAAGAAGCACCGGCUAACUCCGUGCCAGCAGCCGCGGUAAUACGGAGGGUGCGAGCGUUAAUCGGAAUUACUGGGCGUAAAGCGCGCGUAGGUGGCUUGAUAAGCCGGUUGUGAAAGCCCCGGGCUCAACCUGGGAACGGCAUCCGGAACUGUCAAGCUAGAGUGCAGGAGAGGAAGGUAGAAUUCCCGGUGUAGCGGUGAAAUGCGUAGAGAUCGGGAGGAAUACCAGUGGCGAAGGCGGCCUUCCGGACUGACACUGACACUGAGGUGCGAAAGCGUGGGUAGCAAACAGGAUUAGAUACCCGGGUAGUC
RNAcentral lists this ribosomal RNA (465 nucleotides) under Vreelandella stevensii. RNAcentral describes it as "partial 16S ribosomal RNA". It matches the Rfam family "Bacterial small subunit ribosomal RNA", at positions 338 to 795 of the family's 1533-position model. Lineage: Bacteria; Pseudomonadati; Pseudomonadota; Gammaproteobacteria; Oceanospirillales; Halomonadaceae. The record is from RNAcentral.